GGUAAAAGCGAGUGACAUCUGCAAAGUGGCACAGUGGAAAGCUAUCUUUAUCUUGUCCUUCCCAGAAGCAGCAGCGCCUGUCAUGACAGGUAACUGAGUGGCAAAGGGGCUUCAGACCUCAUCCCUCUGGCCACUGAGGAACCCACAACUCUGGCCCCCUGCCCCACCUUCCCACGCCAGUGGAGCCCACAAACCUUAGAAAGUCAAAUGACCACUACCAGCAGUGGCAGAGCCUGCAACCCUGGGGAUUCCAGACAAGAGGGAAGAGCCCACCAUCCCAACGCACCAGGUCGUAAGACACCAGCAACAGUGGCGGCAGCGAAGCACCAAUGACCC
Molecule: long non-coding RNA, 336 nt
Filed under: Bos taurus (domestic cattle)
Lineage: Eukaryota; Metazoa; Chordata; Mammalia; Artiodactyla; Bovidae
Description: long non-coding RNA NONBTAT024136
Source: RNAcentral